RNAcentral lists this ribosomal RNA (312 nucleotides) under Escherichia coli. RNAcentral describes it as "partial 23S ribosomal RNA". It matches the Rfam family "Bacterial large subunit ribosomal RNA", at positions 1085 to 1396 of the family's 2925-position model. The record is from RNAcentral. Lineage: Bacteria; Pseudomonadati; Pseudomonadota; Gammaproteobacteria; Enterobacterales; Enterobacteriaceae.
CCAGACAGCCAGGAUGUUGGCUUAGAAGCAGCCAUCAUUUAAAGAAAGCGUAAUAGCUCACUGGUCGAGUCGGCCUGCGCGGAAGAUGUAACGGGGCUAAACCAUGCACCGAAGCUGCGGCAGCGACACUAUGUGUUGUUGGGUAGGGGAGCGUUCUGUAAGCCUGUGAAGGUGUGCUGUGAGGUAUGCUGGAGGUAUCAGAAGUGCGAAUGCUGACAUAAGUAACGAUAAAGCGGGUGAAAAGCCCGCUCGCCGGAAGACCAAGGGUUCCUGUCCAACGUUAAUCGGGGCAGGGUGAGUCGACCCCUAAGG